AUGAAUACACUGGCCCAACUACAUGAAUUCAUCAAGCUAGCUUUGACCGUCACCUUGACCUCCCUCGACCCUAACACUCUAGACGCCAUCUCCUGGAACUGGAAUCCCAACGACGAAUAUUCGGCUAGCUCAACAUAUGGGGAGCAAUUCCUCGGAUCGUAUCCGAGAUUCUUCAGCGACAAAAUCUGAAAGGCGCAUGCAGUGCUAAAGUGCAAGCUUUUCUCCUGGCUGGUCCUCCACAAUCGGAUCCUUACAGCUGACCGACUCGCCUUGCGAGGCUGGCCACAUAACCUCCUCUGCCAACUAUGCCUCCACACCAACGAGAAUGCAUAA
RNAcentral lists this ribosomal RNA (333 nucleotides) under Triticum aestivum (bread wheat). Its description in RNAcentral is "partial small subunit ribosomal RNA". Lineage: Eukaryota; Viridiplantae; Streptophyta; Magnoliopsida; Poales; Poaceae. The record is from RNAcentral.